GACGAACGCUGGCGGCGUGCUUAACACAUGCAAGUCGUACGGUAAGGCCCUUUCGGGGGUACACGAGUGGCGAACGGGUGAGUAACACGUGAGUAACCUGCCCACAACUUUGGGAUAACGCUAGGAAACUGGUGCUAAUACUGGAUAUGUGCUCCUGCUGCAUGGUGGGGGUUGGAAAGCUCCGGCGGUUGUGGAUGGACUCGCGGCCUAUCAGCUUGUUGGUGGGGUAGUGGCAUACCAAGGCGGCGACGGGUAGCCGGCCUGGGAGGGUGACCGGCCACAUUGGGACUGAGAUACGGCCCAGACUCCUACGGGAGGCAGCAGUGGGGAAUAUUGCACAAUGGGCGCAAGCCUGAUGCAGCAACGCCGCGUGCGGGAUGACGGCCUUCGGGUUGUAAACCGCUUUCAGCAGGGACGAAGCUUUUUGUGACGGUACCUGCAGAAGAAGCACCGGCUAACUACGUG
Molecule: ribosomal RNA, 465 nt
Filed under: uncultured bacterium
Lineage: Bacteria
Description: partial 16S ribosomal RNA
Rfam family: Bacterial small subunit ribosomal RNA
Source: RNAcentral